This 433-nucleotide ribosomal RNA is filed under the name uncultured bacterium. RNAcentral describes it as "partial 16S ribosomal RNA". It matches the Rfam family "Bacterial small subunit ribosomal RNA", at positions 29 to 507 of the family's 1533-position model. The record is from RNAcentral.
AACGAACGAGGGAGGGAGGAGGAACACAGGCAAGUCGAACGAGACCUUCGGGUCUAGUGGCGCACGGGUGCGUAACGCGUGGGAACCUGCCCUUAGGUUCGGAAUAAAUCCCCGAAAGGGGUGGUAAUACCGGAUAAUGUCUUCGGACCAAAGAUUUAUCGCCUUUGGAUGGGCCCGCGUUGGAUUAGCUAGUUGGUCGGGUAAAAGCCUACCAAGGCGACGAUCCAUAGCUGGUCUGAGAGGAUGAUCAGCCACACUGGGACUGAGACACGGCCCAGACUCCUACGGGAUGCAGCAGUGGGGAAUAUUGGACAAUGGGCGAAAGCCUGAUCCAGCAAUGCCGCGUGAGUGAUGAUGGCCUUAGGGUUGUAAAGCUCUUUUACCCGGGAUGAUACUGACAGUACCGGGAGAAUAAGCACCGGCUACCUCCGUG